GCUUGGUGGAUCAGUGGCGAACGGGUGAGUAACACGUGAGCAACCUGCCCUGGACUCUGGGAUAAGCGCUGGAAACGGCGUCUAAUACUGGAUAUGAGACGUGAUCGCAUGGUCGUGUUUGGAAAGAUUUUUCGGUCUGGGAUGGGCUCGCGGCCUAUCAGCUUGUUGGUGAGGUAAUGGCUCACCAAGGCGUCGACGGGUAGCCGGCCUGAGAGGGUGACCGGCCACACUGGGACUGAGACACGGCCCAGACUCCUACGGGAGGCAGCAGUGGGGAAUAUUGCACAAUGGGCGAAAGCCUGAUGCAGCAACGCCGCGUGAGGGAUGACGGCCUUCGGGUUGUAAACCUCUUUUAGCAGGGAAGAAGCGAAAGUGACGGUACCUGCAGAAAAAGCGCCGGCUAACUACGUGCCAGCAGCCGCGGUAAUACGUAGGGCGCAAGCGUUAUCCGGAAUUAUUGGGCGUAAAGAGCUCGUAGGCGGUUUGUCGCGUCUGCUGUGAAAUCCCGAGGCUCAACCUCGGGCCUGCAGUGGGUACGGGCAGACUAGAGUGCGGUAGGGGAGAUUGGAAUUCCUGGUGUAGCGGUGGAAUGCGCAGAUAUCAGGAGGAACACCGAUGGCGAAGGCAGAUCUCUGGGCCGUAACUGACGCUGAGGAGCGAAAGGGUGGGGAGCAAACAGGCUUAGAUACCCUGGUAGUCCACCCCGUAAACGUUGGGAACUAGUUGUGGGGACCAUUCCACGGUUUCCGUGACGCAGCUAACGCAUUAAGUUCCCCGCCUGGGGAGUACGGCCGCAAGGCUAAAACUCAAAGGAAUUGACGGGGACCCGCACAAGCGGCGGAGCAUGCGGAUUAAUUCGAUGCAACGCGAAGAACCUUACCAAGGCUUGACAUAUACGAGAACGGGCCAGAAAUGGUCAACUCUUUGGACACUCGUAAACAGGUGGUGCAUGGUUGUCGUCAGCUCGUGUCGUGAGAUGUUGGGUUAAGUCCCGCAACGAGCGCAACCCUCGUUCUAUGUUGCCAGCACGUAAUGGUGGGAACUCAUGGGAUACUGCCGGGGUCAACUCGGAGGAAGGUGGGGAUGACGUCAAAUCAUCAUGCCCCUUAUGUCUUGGGCUUCACGCAUGCUACAAUGGCCGGUACAAAGGGCUGCAAUACCGUGAGGUGGAGCGAAUCCCAAAAAGCCGGUCCCAGUUCGGAUUGAGGUUUGCAACUCGACCU
RNAcentral lists this ribosomal RNA (1223 nucleotides) under Microbacterium testaceum. Its description in RNAcentral is "bacterial SSU rRNA". It matches the Rfam family "Bacterial small subunit ribosomal RNA", at positions 82 to 1318 of the family's 1533-position model. Lineage: Bacteria; Bacillati; Actinomycetota; Actinomycetes; Micrococcales; Microbacteriaceae. The record is from RNAcentral.